AACAGCAGGAGGAACACGUGCUACCUUGAUCAAAUCUUCCAAUUUCUUUGAAGAGAAAUUGCUCACACCAAUAGCUCGAGUUUUGCCAGCAUCGUAGAGGGCUUCCAAUGCUUUCCAAGUGCUAGGUAUAUCUGGCUGAACAAGGUUUUCUGGCUUAAAGCCUACUGACCCCUUCUUCAUCCGGACUGGCCAAUGGAU
Quercus robur (English oak) is the source of this 198-nucleotide long non-coding RNA. RefSeq lists it as uncharacterized. The transcript is spliced from 2 exons. NCBI's taxonomy places the organism in Eukaryota, Viridiplantae, Streptophyta, Magnoliopsida, Fagales, Fagaceae. The record is from RefSeq and is a predicted model, not a curated record.